UUGCCAUCGAAGGAGGAAGGGUGCCAACCAGACCCUAUCGCCUUUUCGAACAUCAAUCGGACAACUCCGAGAGGGUUCGCCAGGCAAUCGUACGGUGGUCCGACCAUUUCUUUGAUCUCAUUGUGAUUCUCUCUGUUAUCUUUCUUGGUGACUGCUUCAGUACUGUGAUCACGGCUACGCGCGCUAAUGGGUACAAAGUAGGGAUAAUUUUUCUCGUCAAAUCUAGUCUUCCCGCCAUUUUUAGUGACCCCGGGGCCCUGAGCCCUUCCUUCGGAUUCAUGGGUUGCUCAAACUGGCCCAAAACACCAUGGACAUCUAUCUUCCAGCAGACAAUAACGUUUAACAGAAGAAAGAAAACGAACCCAUCAAUUUGAUGACCCAUCAAGCAUCAGCGAACCCAUCAAAGUGAUGAUAUUUGGAAUCUUGGAAGCAGGAAACGUUGUUUCUACCAAGUAAACCAACUAUACUCUGUAGGGCUUCAGCUGUUCCUAAACCCAAAUUAUAUGAAUUGCUAGUUCCUACUUCUCCAUGGGCUAAAUCUUGAAAACAUACAUUUAAAGCUUCACCACUAGAAAAGUUAGCAUAUAUAAUAUUGAGCAGAUUGAAA
RNAcentral lists this unclassified non-coding RNA (607 nucleotides) under Hevea brasiliensis (rubber tree). Lineage: Eukaryota; Viridiplantae; Streptophyta; Magnoliopsida; Malpighiales; Euphorbiaceae. The record is from RNAcentral.